UUAGCGGCGGACGGGUGAGUAACACGUGGGCAACCUACCUUAUAGUUUGGGAUAACUCCGGGAAACCGGGGCUAAUACCGAAUAWUUUAUUUCACUUCAUGGUGGAAUACURAAAGACGGUCUCGGCUGKCGCUAUAGGAUGGGCCCGCGGCGCAUUARCUAGUUGGUGAGGUAACGGCUCACCAAGGCGACGAUGCGUAGCCGACCUGARAGGGUGAUCGGCCACACUGGGACUGAGACACGGCCCARACUCCUACGGGAGGCAGCAGUAGGGAAUCUUCCACAAUGGGCGAAAGCCUGAUGGAGCAACGCCGCGUGAGUGAAGAARGAUUUCGGUUCSUAAAACUCUGUUGUAAGGGAAGAACAAGUACAGUAGUAACUGGCUGUACCUUGACGGUACCUUAUUAGAAAGCCACGGCUAACUACGUGCCAGCAGCCGCGGUAAUACGUAGGUGGCAAGCGUUGUCCGGAAUUAUUGGGCGUAAAGCGCGCGCAGGUGGUUUCUUAAGUCUGAUGUGAAAGCCCACGGCUCAACCGUGGAGGGUCAUUGGAAACUGGGAGACUUGAGUGCAGAAGAGGAUAGUGGAAUUCCAAGUGUAGCGGUGAAAUGCGUAGAGAUUUGGAGGAACACCAGUGGCGAAGGCGACUAUCUGGUCUGUAACUGACACUGAGGCGCGAAAGCGUGGGGAGCAAACAGGAUUAGAUACCCUGGUAGUCCACGCCGUAAACGAUGAGUGCUAAGUGUUAGGGGGUUUCCGCCCCUUAGUGCUGCAGCUAACGCAUUAAGCACUCCGCCUGGGGAGUACGGUCGCAAGACUGAAACYUCAAAGGAAUUGACGGGGGCCCGCACAAGCGGUGGAAGCAUGUGGUUUAAUUCGAAGCAACGCGAAGAACCCUUACCAGGUCUUGACA
This 912-nucleotide ribosomal RNA is filed under the name Lysinibacillus sp. RNAcentral describes it as "bacterial SSU rRNA". Lineage: Bacteria; Bacillati; Bacillota; Bacilli; Caryophanales; Bacillaceae. The record is from RNAcentral.